This 484-nucleotide ribosomal RNA is filed under the name uncultured bacterium. Its description in RNAcentral is "partial 16S ribosomal RNA". It matches the Rfam family "Bacterial small subunit ribosomal RNA", at positions 30 to 507 of the family's 1533-position model. The record is from RNAcentral.
AUUGAACGCUGGCGGCAGGCCUAACACAUGCAAGUCGAGCGGAUGAAGUGAGCUUGCUCCUGGAUUCAGCGGCGGACGGGUGAGUAAUGCCUAGGAAUCUGCCUGGUAGUGGGGGAUAACGUCCGGAAACGGGCGCUAAUACCGCAUACGUCCUGAGGGAGAAAGUGGGGGAUCUUCGGACCUCACGCUAUCAGAUGAGCCUAGGUCGGAUUAGCUAGUUGGUGGGGCAAAGGCCUACCAAGGCGACGAUCCGUAACUGGUCUGAGAGGAUGAUCAGUCACACUGGAACUGAGACACGGUCCAGACUCCUACGGGAGGCAGCAGUGGGGAAUAUUGGACAAUGGGCGAAAGCCUGAUCCAGCCAUGCCGCGUGUGUGAAGAAGGUCUUCGGAUUGUAAAGCACUUUAAGUUGGGAGGAAGGGCAGUAAGUUAAUACCUUGCUGUUUUGACGUUACCAACAGAAUAAGCACCGGCUAACUUCGUG